RNAcentral lists this ribosomal RNA (741 nucleotides) under bacterium enrichment culture clone DB39. RNAcentral describes it as "bacterial SSU rRNA". It matches the Rfam family "Bacterial small subunit ribosomal RNA", at positions 56 to 789 of the family's 1533-position model. The record is from RNAcentral.
UGCAGUCGACGGCAGCACGAGAGAGCUUGCUCUCUUGGUGGCGAGUGGCGGACGGGUGAGUAAUAUAUCGGAACGUGCCCAGUAGCGGGGGAUAACUACUCGAAAGAGUGGCUAAUACCGCAUACGCCCUACGGGGGAAAGGGGGGGAUCGCAAGACCUCUCACUAUUGGAGCGGCCGAUAUCGGAUUAGCUAGUUGGUGGGGUAAAGGCUCACCAAGGCAACGAUCCGUAGCUGGUUUGAGAGGGCGACCAGCCACACUGGGACUGAGACACGGCCCAGACUCCUACGGGAGGCAGCAGUGGGGAAUUUUGGACAAUGGGGGAAACCCUGAUCCAGCCAUCCCGCGUGUAUGAUGAAGGCCUUCGGGUUGUAAAGUACUUUUGGCAGAGAAGAAAAGGCAUCCCCUAAUACGGGAUGCUGCUGACGGUAUCUGCAGAAUAAGCACCGGCUAACUACGUGCCAGCAGCCGCGGUAAUACGUAGGGUGCAAGCGUUAAUCGGAAUUACUGGGCGUAAAGCGUGUGUAGGCGGUUCGGAAAGAAAGAUGUGAAAUCCCAGGGCUCAACCUUGGAACUGCAUUUUUAACUGCCGAGCUAGAGUAUGUCAGAGGGGGGUAGAAUUCCACGUGUAGCAGUGAAAUGCGUAGAUAUGUGGAGGAAUACCGAUGGCGAAGCAGCCCCCUGGGAUAAUACUGACGCUCAGACACGAAAGCGUGGGGAGCAAACAGGAUUAGAUACCCUG